UACGUAGGUGGCAAGCGUUGUCCGGAAUUAUUGGGCGUAAAGCGCGCGCAGGUGGUUCCUUAAGUCUGAUGUGAAAGCCCCCGGCUCAACCGGGGAGGGUCAUUGGAAACUGGGGAACUUGAGUGCAGAAGAGGAUAGUGGAAUUCCAAGUGUAGCGGUGAAAUGCGUAGAUAUCGGGAGGAACACCUGUGGCGAAAGCGGCGCACUGGACCACAACUGACGCUGAGGCGCGAAAGCUAGGGGAGCAAACAGG
Molecule: ribosomal RNA, 253 nt
Filed under: uncultured prokaryote
Description: partial 16S ribosomal RNA
Rfam family: Bacterial small subunit ribosomal RNA
Source: RNAcentral